This 254-nucleotide ribosomal RNA is filed under the name uncultured bacterium. Its description in RNAcentral is "partial 16S ribosomal RNA". It matches the Rfam family "Bacterial small subunit ribosomal RNA", at positions 524 to 776 of the family's 1533-position model. The record is from RNAcentral.
UACGUAGGGUGCGAGCGCUGUCCGGAAUUAUUGGGCGUAAAGAGCUCGUAGGCGGUGUGUCACGUCGGCCGUGAAAACCUGCAGCUUAACUGUGGGCGUGCGGUCGAUACGGGCAUCACUGGAGUUCGGCAGGGGAGACUGGAAUUCCUGGUGUAGCGGUGAAAUGCGCAGAUAUCAGGAGGAACACCGGUGGCGAAGGCGGGUCUCUGGGCCGAUACUGACGCUGAGGAGCGAAAGCGUGGGGAGCAAACAGG